Molecule: long non-coding RNA, 1304 nt
Filed under: Salmo salar (Atlantic salmon)
Lineage: Eukaryota; Metazoa; Chordata; Actinopteri; Salmoniformes; Salmonidae
Description: lncRNA (ENSSSAG00000091996.1)
Source: RNAcentral
CUGAGAACAAUGAGAUGGGCGCACACAUGCACAUGAAGAGUCCAUUUUACUUUUUCAGUCUUUGAACGAAAACAACGACUCCCGGUCGGAAUAUUAUCGCUAUUUUACGAGAAAAAUCGCAUAAAAAUUGAUUUUAAACAGCGUUUGACAUGCUUCGAAGUACGGUAAUGGAAUAUUUUGCAUUUUUUUGUCACGAUACCCGUCCGCGCAUCACCCUUCGUUACCCUUCGGAUAGUGUCUUGAACGCACGAACAAAACGCCGCUAUUUGGAUAUAACUAUGGAUUAUUUGGAACCAAACCAACAUUUGUUGUUGAAGUAGAAGUUCUGGGAGUGCAUUCUGACGAAGAACAGCAAAGUCCACUUGGUCGAGCAUUUUUGGGGCAGCGAUCGGUGCCCCCAGGCAAACUGCAGUCGACGGUGAAGAAGAUCUUGGCCCCGAAGUCUGCAGUUCCAAGGCUGUCUGCUUCCCGAACAGCUCUGCGAUCAGCUCUGCAAUCCGCAGAGACUUCACAUGCAGAGCUGGUCGUUAUGGCCGUAGAAGUUGAAAAGUACAAAGGAAGGUACAUUGGGUAAGGUAGAUUUGGAUUAAAUUCCUGGGUCACCCUGCGCAUCACUGCCAGUUUCCAGCGUUUCUGACCUACAGGUGUUCUUGUGACCUGGCGGUUGUGCGCACUUUGGGGAACAGCGUCACUCAGCUAUGCACCAAGCUGUCUGAGGGCCACAGCGAAGCCUGGAUGCGGUGGUCUAAACAGUACCUCGGCGAGUGCAAGCACUUCCUUGCCUCGUGCACCAUCCGGCCACAGUUCCCACCAAUACCAGAAAUGCCGGUGGUGCCCUCACCCGUCUGGCUGCUGACAGUGUACAGCAUGGAUGUGCUGUUGUGGCUUGACGAGGUGACCAAGAAGCUCGCCCGUUACGCUUCGGACACGGGUGCUUGGGCCACAAAUUGUGGGGAAUGAACACAGGCAUGUCCUCACUGCUGGUGAGGGCGAGGGCCUGCUAGCCAUGGUGGCCGGCCUUAUGAAGCGGUACCGACUCGCUGGGAUACCAGCCCCCCAGCUCAUGUACGUGGACCGGGACUGUUGCUCCAAGAUGGUUGCCAUGUUUGGGCUCCCGAGUGGAGCAGCAGUCUAAGGCACUGCAUCUCAGUGCUAGAGGCAUCAUUACAGACACCCUGAUUCGAAUCUAGGCUGUAUCACAACUGGCCGUAAUUGGGAGUCCCAUAGGGUGGCACACAAUUGGCCCAGCGUCGUCUGGGUUUUGAGUCUCAUAGCAAAGGGUCUGGAUACUUAUGUAAAUGUGA